GCCGAAGUGGUGGAAUUGGUAGACACGCCAUCUUGAGGGGGUGGUGGGGAGACCCGUGGGGGUUCGAGUCCCCCCUUCGGCACCA
RNAcentral lists this transfer RNA (85 nucleotides) under Deltaproteobacteria bacterium. Its description in RNAcentral is "tRNA-Leu". It matches the Rfam family "tRNA". From Rfam's summary of the family: Transfer RNA (tRNA) molecules are approximately 80 nucleotides in length. RNAcentral also lists the same sequence under 2 other names. Lineage: Bacteria; Pseudomonadati; Myxococcota; Myxococcia. The record is from RNAcentral.